Molecule: ribosomal RNA, 1198 nt
Filed under: Fuscocatenula submersa
Lineage: Eukaryota; Fungi; Ascomycota; Sordariomycetes; Chaetosphaeriales; Chaetosphaeriaceae
Description: Chaetosphaeria submersa partial large subunit ribosomal RNA
Rfam family: Eukaryotic large subunit ribosomal RNA
Source: RNAcentral
UUGUAAUUUGCAGAGGAUGCUUCGGGCGCGGUGCCUUCCAAGUCCCCUGGAACGGGGCGCCACAGAGGGUGAGAGCCCCGUACGGUUGAACGCCAAGCCUGUGUGAAGCUCCUUCAACGAGUCGAGUAGUUUGGGAAUGCUGCUCUAAAUGGGAGGUAGACCCCUUCUAAAGCUAAAUACCGGCUGGAGACCGAUAGCGCACAAGUAGAGUGAUCGAAAGAUGAAAAGAACUUUGAAAAGAGGGUUAAACAGCACGUGAAAUUGUUGAAAGGGAAGCGCUUGUGACCAGACUUGCGCCGGGGCGAUCCUCUGGCGUUCUCGCCAGGGCACUCGCCCCGGGGCAGGCCAGCGUCGGUUUGGGCGGGGGGACAAGGACGUUGGGCACGUAGCUCCCCCGGGAGUGUUAUAGCCCGUCGUGCGAUGCCCCCUCCCGGACCGAGGUACGCGCUCUGCAAGGACGCUGGCGUAAUGGUCACCAGCGGCCCGUCUUGAAACACGGACCAAGGAGUCGAGGUUCUGCGCGAGUGUUUGGGUGCCAAACCCGCACGCGCAAUGAAAGUGAACGUAGGUGGGAGCCUCGGCGCACCACCGACCGAUCCUGAUGUUCUCGGAUGGAUUUGAGUAAGAGCGUUGGGCCUCGGACCCGAAAGAUGGUGAACUAUGCUUGGAUAGGGUGAAGCCAGAGGAAACUCUGGUGGAGGCUCGCAGCGGUUCUGACGUGCAAAUCGAUCGUCAAAUCUGAGCAUGGGGGCGAAAGACUAAUCGAACCAUCUAGUAGCUGGUUACCGCCGAAGUUUCCCUCAGGAUAGCAGUGUUGUCUUCAGUUUUAUGAGGUAAAGCGAAUGAUUAGGGACCUGGGGGCGCUAUUUAGCCUUCAUCCAUUCUCAAACUUUAAAUAUGUAAGAAGCCCUUGUUGCUUAAUUGAACGUGGGCAUUCGAAUGCACCAACACUAGUGGGCCAUUUUUGGUAAGCAGAACUGGCGAUGUGGGAUGAACCAUACGCGAGGUUAAGGUGCCGGAGUGGACGCUCAUCAGACACCACAAAAGGCGUUAGCACAUCUUGACAGCAGGACGGUGGCCAUGGAAGUCGGAAUCCGCUAAGGACUGUGUAACAACUCACCUGCCGAAUGUGCUAGCCCUGAAAAUGGAUGGCGCUCAAGCGUCCCACCCAUACCUCGCCCUCGGGGUGGAAACGAAG